Molecule: long non-coding RNA, 16149 nt
Filed under: Oryza sativa (Asian cultivated rice)
Lineage: Eukaryota; Viridiplantae; Streptophyta; Magnoliopsida; Poales; Poaceae
Description: long non-coding RNA (OSAT_LNC000345)
Rfam family: MIR1846 microRNA precursor family (bases 5430-5515)
Source: RNAcentral
GGAGGAGGGGGUGGUAUAAAAUAUGUCUCCACGGAACAUUAAAUGGAGUAAAAACACUCUCCAUCGGGUCUGGCGGGGGCGGGUUUGGUUCACCAUCCCUCGUCCCCGCUCUCCGUGGAGGUCCGACGUAACAAUGUAUGUGUAAUAUUAUCAUGUAUAUUUGGCCCAUCUAGCCCAUAGAAACUAGGCCCAAAACGUAGAGUAUAUAAAGUAUCUACAAAACCCUAGCCAUUCCAAUCCCUUCUCCCUUUCGUCCCCAUUCCCCACGCCGUCGCAGGCUCGUAGCCUAGCUAGCGGCGUGCCGGUGCCGACUCCCGAUCUCAAUCUCGUAGGGCCGCCGCGCGCCUGCCGCGUCAGCACCCUCGCAGGGUCGCCGGCUUGUCGUGCUCGCGUCCGCGCAGGGCCGCUGCGCCUCCAGGUCUCGGCACUGCCGCACCAGGUCCCAGCGCCACAGUCGUCUCGGUCUCUCGGCAGCACUGAGGACGCCAAGGACUUGGCACCGGCCACCAGACGUUGGGCUCAUCCUCCACUGUCCAUCCAUCCAUUCUGAAUUUCUGAUCCGUCAUCUGGGCUUAUUUGUUUUACUGAUGGUGGAUGCAGGUGAAGGCUACGGUGGCAAGAAAGACCUACUCCGAACUAUGUUUUUGUGUAUGCCUGGACAACAUGUGUAGCGGUGAUAACUAAUGAGUGAUCGACUGGUGAUUGAUUAAUGAUCAUGUGUUAUUGUGUUGUUGCUUAAUAUGAGAAUUUGAUGGAUAGUGUUGCUGAGGGGAAAUUCUUGGGUACAAAUUUGUUGUACUGCUUGUUGCUGCAAUGCUGUUGCAACUGAAUAAGUAAUAAACUGAUGAUGUGCAUUUGUGAAUUUGUGAACUUGUGAUAUGAAUUUGUGAACUUGUUUUCUUGUAUAAUUAUGUUGUUGUCAUGUGCUGAAAUUGCAUGGCCAGAAUUGCUAUUUUGAGUGAUAAUCUUUUUAUCAAAAUUAUUGUUUGAUAUGUGAAAUAUAUACAUGAGACUCGCGGGGAUGGAGGCUCCACGGAGGCGAUGAUGGUGAAAGAUGUUACCCCGUUGCAUUUCACGGUGAUGGUGAUAGGGGAAAUUCUCCUCCACCGAGGCGGGUCUGGUGGUGUAACCUCCGACGGAGAAUUCCCCGUUGCCAUCUCUAAAUGGAACAAGCAUGCUCGGCCCGAUGGAUCUGUACGUGCUCAACGCCAAGCGCACCAAAGGUCUUAGGCUCGAUUGAUAUUGAUCACUUACCCAAUUAAAUAUUAAAUCACUUAUUCCUUUUAUGUAUGUAAGCAAGCAUCAGAUAGAGCCCUGGUACACGUGAAAACGCAUGCAGUGGCAGAGGAUUCAGGGGGAUGACGAAGAAAGUGGAUGGGGAGUUGCGAUUGCCAAGAUCAUUGAUGCCGUUCUCAAUGUGGGAAAACACAUAAUAGAUAUAGGGUGUGUUUAGUUCACGUUAAAAUUGAAAGUUUGAUUGAAAUUGGAAUGAUGUGAUGGAAAAAUUGAAAGUUUGUGUGUGUAGGAAAGUUUUGAUGUGAUGUAAAAGUUGAAGGUUUGAAGAAAAAGUUAGGAACUAAACUAGGCCAUAUAUGUAGGUGUUGAUGAACUUGACUGCAUGUAUUGGCCUGUUCAAGUUCACUGUCAUUGGUGCAUGGAGCAUAUAAAUACACGCGAAAACUUUUCAUUAUAUCAGAUCGUGAAUAUUUGGACACAUGUAUGGAGUAUUAAAUAUAGAUAAAAAAAACUAAUUACACAGAUUACGUGUAAAUUGCGAGACGAAUCUUUUAAGCCUAAUUGCUACAUAAUUUGAUAAAGUAGUGCUAAAGUAAACAUUUACUAAUGACGGAUUAAUUAUGUUUAAUAAAUUCGUCUCGCAGUUUACAGGCGAAAUUUAUAAUUUAUUUUGAGUAUACGUUUAAUACUUCUAAUGUGUUCCCGUAUAUCCAAUAUGGCACGCUAAAACUUUUCACCCGUGAAUCUCCUAGCCUAACUUAAACACUCUCAAACAGACAUGUAAUUACAGAUGCACACAUGCUGUCACACAUGCAAGAUUAGAUCGAUAUAAUCAACUUUAUCCAAUUUUAAUUGCUCCAUCACUAGCUAGCCAUUGUUUACACGUUCCCUCCAAUAAAUCGCCAUCGACUUCACUGCUGCCACUUCCGUCGCCACCGACUCAGCUGCCGUUGCCACCGCCGUCGUCGCCACAACUGUCAUCUUUGGUGCCGCCACUAUACGAUGUCCCAGACAAGACAGUGAGUUUAAGUUCAACUAGCAAUAAUCACGCGCUACGCUGCGUGUGGAUUUGAAGGUAACAUCAUACUCAAAGCAGCCCAAAAUGGUUACAGUUGUCAAGUUUGCGCCAAGAGCAUACUUGCAUUUACACUUUAUUAAUAUUUUCAAGAUCAAAUGUGAAUUGUUCUGAUCGGUUCGUUCAGAGAACAAUUUGUACAACCAAUGCACAGUAGUGUAAAAGCCUUUCCAGUGUGAUGUAGAUUACAGAAAAAGAUCAAUGUUGAGUCGGUAAUCAUUAGAAGGCAAGGCGCAUACCUGAAAAUUUUUCAUAUAGAAAUCUUCAUCACGAAACAAUGAGAUCUUUUCACAUAGCACCUGCAUUGUGAAGGAUAUUUUAGUGUUUCGGCGCAAUAAAAACAACAGUAUAUAACCAAAUGUAUGUGCAGCAAUUUAGAUGACUGCUGCUUACUUGGAAAGUGCCAGUGACUACUGAGCUAUGUCCAAUAGGCCAACAUUAUGUCCAAGAGUUCGGUUUUACAUGCAUGAAGUGGAAACAAAAUGUUGCAAUUUCGAUUGAUUAAGCGCAAAAAUAACUAAUGAAAUCAUAAUGUCAAGUCAACCUAUGAUGCAAACUUCAUAGAAGUAUAUGUAAAAACAGAGAUUCAAUUUGAAAGAUGAUGGGUCAGUAGCAAAUUCCAGAAAUAUCGCUGUAAGGAAAAAAAAGAAAGAAAGACCCCAUGUGCACCUAUUGAAGCAUAUUUUUUUUAUAUCCAUCAUUUAGAGACUUAUUUAGUAUAUCUGACAAUUGUAGUUGCUAUGAUUAAUCGAAUUUACGGAGACUACCUAGAUGAGAUGGCCAAGAGACUUUUAGCAUGAUAUGAUAUACUUACCUUAAUCGUGGCCAAAAGACUUGAAACAUGAUAUGAUAUAGUUGCUCUGAGGUAUGGAGGUAUGGCUAUUUAAAGUUAUUUGCAUGAUCCAAAUAUAGGGGUAAAAGGUGGGGGGGGGGGGGGGGGCAGCAAAUCAGCAGAAAAAUUAUCAUAGAUGGGAAACAUACCAGAUGGAGCAUGUGGUUGCUGAUUUACAUUCCAUGCCAAGGAAUAAAAGGGAACAUAUAAUUUAUAAGUUUGUAUUGUCCACUUGCUAUUUAAAUUCAGAAUAUGUAGAUUAUUUUAAAGUAAUGAUAUUAUCUGAAUAUCCUUUUUCCAGAAUAUGCAGACACAUUUCAGGUUUAUAAGCUUGAAAAAAAAGGCACUAACGAACAUUCCAUCGUUGGUCAAAGAAUCCCAUCAUAGAUCAACUGGCCUAAAAAAGAAGAAAAAUAAGUGUUUCAUGCAUAGAAAGUGGUUUCAAUUUUAUAUCCAUCUGUUGGAUAUUAAGACAAAACUUGAAGGAGAAUAACUAUUCCACAUUGGUUCCAGAUAAUUAAUUACAUCCUUUUCAUGAGAAAGCAACAAUUAACAAUUACUUUUGUUCCCCAUAACACAUUGGGCCAGCUGUACUUCCCAACUAUCAUGAACAAUUUGUUUAAACAAAAAUUAGCAAUAAAGCACAUGGGACAUUAUUCAAAUACCAGUAUGUCCACUAUCAUUGUCAGUAAGUUCCAAACACUGUCAAUGGAUUGUAGUUCCUACACUAUAAGAACUACCUCAUCCAAUAUCCUACUAUCCCCAACUGGUUGUCAAUAACUGUAAGCCUACCUGACCAUUUGAAAUAAAAUAUUUGAUAGUUUUGGAACACAGGUAGCUGCUUAAAUAGUAUAUAGUCUUCAAUAUGAAAUGUCACAUUUUAGCAAUAUGACUAUGCAUGUAGCAUGUUAAGCAUAUUUCUCUUAUCAAUAACUAUUUCAAUUCUAAACAAAAACUACAACAUGAGUAUAUGUUUUUCUUUAUUGCCUAAAUUCACACACCUCAGAUGAGAUACCAUACUUCCCAAAAAUGCAUUAGUGCUCGUACAGAGAGAACCUAGCUAGUAUUUCUUAGUAUACCUCUAGCUAAGAAGAGGAACCAAAUUAGGCGACAAAGACUAAUGCACCUCGUGCAAGCUGGUGUAUAAUAAAAAAAAGUCCCAUGGCUACAGCAUAGGACAAUCUUUGUUAAAAUUCCAGUUCUAAAUAGGUUACAAUGACUUCGUAUGAUGUUCAAAAAAAGUAAUUGAUUCGUAUUGAGGCAAAACAAAACUUACAUAGAUAUGUUCCACUUCAUAUGCACUGGGAGGGAUACCUGCAUCUAGAGAAGCUUAUAAGCACUGAUAAAUAAAGAACAGUAGGGCAUUUAGGGCAUUUAUAGUAUGGUCUGAAAGGCUUUGAGUUGGAUCUGCACUAUUAUGUUUCUUGUGUACAUAAUAUGAACUGAAUCAGCCCAAGAAGAACUUUACCUUGGCAACCAAAGAGAAUCAUUACAUACAUGUCAAAGGUAUCCUAAGCUUGAUAUAAUGAACGAAAGCCCCAAAUCGCAUAAAUAUGCCCUGCAUCACAAAUGGGAACAAAUAAACCUAUCAACAAUAUCGUUUUGCCCUCCAAAGUUGUAUAUGCAAUUCCUAACUGAAACAAUUAAUCACAGCAUAGAGAAUUUUGAGUAGCAGCGUGUGUUGUUUCAAGCUAAACAGUUUGAUCACACAUGACAGUGUUGAAGUACAUGCAGAGGGAAAUUUCUCCACACAACCUACACACUAUAACUGAAUAAUGCCAUACACAUUAAAAGCAAAUCAAGACUGGCACUGUAACUAAAUCAAGGCUUACACAUUAGAAGCAAAUCACGGUUGUAAUCAUCAACAACUAAGGUCCAACCACUUCCUUCUCAUGGCCCUAUGACACUGAGCUAGAACGAAAAGGAAAAAAGAGAACAGGAACGACCAGGCAGCUAUUGUCGCGGAGCCGCAGCUGUCUUCAUCGCGGUCCUGGUCAAGCCGACACUCUCCCUUCCCUUCUCAUGGCACUGAGCGAGGCUCUCAUGGAGAGGGAGAGGAGAAGAUGGCAGUGGCGGCGGCCGGAGAGGGACAGGAGAAGAGGGCAGCGGCGGCACCCUAUUGACUCCAUCCGGGCGACCGAUUCAACUGGAGGGGAGGCCAAGAUUGAUGAAUCAGACGGUCCCCGAGCCAUAUUUGACACCGCAGAGAGGGAGCGGCGGUGGCAGCACGGUAGAGGAGAAGGGAGCUGCGGCGGCGACGGCGCUUGCGAGCGGAGGAGGUGGGCGUCUGGGCGCCGGAUCCGCCGGCGAGGAGACCGGGGUCACCGGAUCCGGCGGUCCCGGCCUCCUCACUAGGAGAUCCGGCGGGUCAUUGGGAGGGAGCGGCGGCGGCAGCACAGUAGAGGAGAGGGAGCUGCGGCGACGACGGCGCACGCGAGCGCAAGAGGCGGGCGAGGUUGCGGUGCGAGCUGAGGAGGUGGGCGACGGCGCACGCGAGCGCAGGAGGCGGGCGAGGUUGCAGAGCGAGCGGAGGAGGUUGCGGCGCGCGUGUAGGGAGAGGAGAGGACGGGCGGCUAGGGUUUGUACCGGUUGGCGAAAUCCAGGCCGUCCGUCCAUAAUCCGACGAUCGCACGGGUAAGGAAGGGCCAGCACAGCGGGACACGUGGACGGCCAGAUUGACCCUACGGUGAGAUCGGACGGUGGAAAGAAGCGAGGACCGGCGCAUAAUUAUCCGAAAGUGCAGGGGUUUUUUCGCCAAAAUUGAUGAUGUGGCACUCUACUCUUCCCGCGUUCCCACGGCUUUUAAGUAAACCUAUAUAUUAACUAUUUAGUAUUCGGUUAACCUUAUCUUGAGAGGUAGCUACAAAAUUAUGGUGCAAUACAUCUGUUCAAUACUAAUUUAGUACUUCAUCCGUUUCACUUUAUAAAACAUCUAUUUCCUUGUCUAAAUGCAACAUCUAUAUGAAAUUAUGUGUCCAAAUUCAUAUCGAACCAUACAUGAAUCUUUUUAAAAUCCAAAAAUUCUUAUAAUAUAAAUAAUUAAUUAUCACACUCCGAUUAACGACAACUUGCUUUCAUUAGGCCCCCUCCAAUAUGAGCCAAUCAUGUAUUUUCACCACGCUUUAGGACUUUGGCAUAGCAUAUGUGCUGGCCACAUGGAAGUGAUGCAACAGUUAACAACGCUUUGCUAAGAUUAGAAUAAGGCAACAUUGAAGUGAUUAAUGGGGUUGUUCUCAGUACUAACUCUGUUUUCUUAGGUUUCGUUCAUGGACGGUAGAUAUGUUCAAAGUUCGUUUCUAAUUUUCUAUGUUGCUUAAUACUUGUUUCUAAAUCAGCUCCAAACUCUUAGUAUAUAGCAUAGAAUAAUGUGAAAUACCAUGAUGUAUACAAGUAAUUCAAGAAGCUAUUUCUGUGAUAUGAAUGCAGUCCGGCCAUCGAAAAAAGCAAGAAGUUCCAAAUGUAUGGAUAAUAUGCACACCUUUAUUGUAUUUCAAUCUAUUUAAAUAUGCCAACCACUUACACUUAAUUUAUUUGGAUAAUUAUUUUUUUCACAUGUAAAAUUAUGAAAAAAUUGAUGUGAGUUGGCAUGGAACUGAAUCUCAAUUUAAUUUAGACAUAUAUACAAAUUAGGCAAAUUUUGCUAUAGGACAUCACGACUUCGUGGUUUUAGCCGUAGGACACCGCACAAACUCACUUUUAGGGGAAAAAACACUCUUUAAACGUGCUUAUUUGCCACUGGACACCACGUCCAUUAAAAUAUUAAUUUUCGGUUGAAUAGAAGAGAUAAAUAGUAUGAAAGGUCAAAAAUACCCCUGACCCCACUUGUCAUAUUCUUCCUCUUCCUCCUGGUUGUGCAGCUUCUCCCCGGACUGUUGCCGGUCCAAGUGCGUCGGCUGGAACACGCUCAUGGAUUCCCUGCCUGCUAUGUCCUGCUCGUAGUAUAGGUCCUUGAUCCUCUCGGAGUAGGCGCCAUGUAGCGACACGACGAGCACCGGCUUGCGCCUCCCCGGCCGCGCCGCCCGGCUGCUCUCCGGCAGUGGUAAAGUUGAGCUCCUGCUGCACACGGGGCAGGAUGUUCUCUCCAUGCGCGCACAACAUGAUCUGGCCGUAGAGCUCGUCGGUGGAGAUGCGCGCCAAGUAGAAGGAGCACACCUGGAUGCCGACACGCUACUCAGUGUAGGCCAUGUACGAGGCAUGGUACCACGUUCCUCGGGUGGAGCAGGUAGCGGCCGAGGAGGUGGAACGCAGCAUCGUGGCACGGGAACAUCCGCGGCAGCACGCGCUCGAUGCGCGAGACCAGGAACAGUCCGAGCACGAAGUAGUUGUCGGAGAGGAGCACCAUCCAGUCGACGCGCCACAAUGCGUCCAGCCCGUCGUCGCAGAAGAAGCGCGGCUCAUUGCCGUUGCGGUUGAAGUACGUCGUGCUGCAGGUGCAUGUACAUCCAUGGCGGUAGUGGGUCUCGGGCAGCGCGUUGCCGCGCCGCAGCGCGUUGCCGAGGCUCUCGCGGGUGCACGCGUUGAAGCCCCGGAUGCCGGAAAACGGGAAGUCCCCCUCCGGUAGUGUCCACGUUGAGCCCGGGAAUUGCUCGCAGAUGAGAUAAGGAAGAAGAGAGGAUGGGGAAGAGAAAGGAGGGGUAAUUUGGUUACUCUGCAUAAAAAUAUGGGCCCGUGUCGCCUUGUCAGCACGAAUACGUUAUUUUAAUAGGGGCAGUAUCCGCUGGCAAAUAACCACAUUUAGAGAGUGUUUUCUCCUAAAAGUGAGUUCGUGCGGUGUCCUACAACUAAAAUCACGAAAUCGCGAUGUCCUGUAACAAAAUUUGCCUACAAAUUAACGCCGAUGGCACAACAGAAAAAAGUAAAUCACUAUUUUUAUUUUAUACUCCCCCGUCUAAAAAAACAGACCUAGAACUGUAUGUGAUACAUUCUAAUACAACAAAUCUGGAUAGAGUUAUGUCCCAGAUUUGUAAUAAUAGGAUGUGUCAUAUCCAGUGCUAGAUUGGAUUUUUAUGGAACGGAUGGAGUAACUAUGAUAUAUGUUUGUGCUCGUGAUUUUGCUUUUAUAAUUGUAGUCGAUCAUCUACGGAACUAUUUAUGUGUGUAUAUGUAGCCAUUCUAUAUCUAUAUAUUAGACACUACCACUCCCCUCUCUCUCUACGUUAUCUCUUUUCUCAGCCUUCCCGGCUUACCACCUUUUCCCCACCUUCUUCCCUGCUUCCCCUCCUCUCCACCGUCAACAGCGGGCGUCGGUGGCGGCCCCGUGGGUGCGCCUCCACGCCACCCGCAGCACCCAGGAUGAGGAGGUCAAGGUCGACGCCACCAUGUUCGACGGCGCCGCCGUCCCGCCCCCAGACGCGCCCCUCUUCCGCCGCGUCGAGUCGCUCGACCACGUCCCGCGCCUCCACCUCGGCCUCAUCAUCGAGGCCUCUACCGCGACAUGUUGCACCAGCACCAGAAAUCAUGUUGUACGGAAGCUUUUGUGAUUUUGCUCUCUGGUUUAUGUGGUUUGUGAAGUUCCACUUCUGUAAAUGAUUCGCAGCAAGCUGGAGGCUAGGGAGAGGGAGUACGUGAGGAAAUUCUUGCAGGAGAGGGCGGCGGCGGCAGCGGCGGCCGGGCGAGGCGGCGCUCCCACGGGAGAUUCACGACGAGAUCGGCCUAGAGUUCCUCGGCAACGUCACCGGCAAGCCAUACACGCUCCACGCCAACAUCUUCGCCAACGGCGUCGGCAGCCGCGAGCAGCAGUCGUCGCAUCUCCUCCUGGUCGUGGUCCUCAUCGUGCACAUCGUCGCUCGGCUCCCUUGACGACGAUGCCGUCGUUGCGUGCGUCGUCAAGGCGGCGGCGAGCGGGCGAGCGGGCGGCGGCCAUUUUCACUUUUUUUUUGUUUUUUUUCCGUGCGAGCGGUAUAAUAUGACCGCAUCGGGAUAAUCGAUUAUCCCGUGCGGUCCAUUAUCCCAUACGGUUGGGCCGUCCGUACGCGAAAAUAUUGAUUUUUUCAGACAUUUGGGUAUAGACGGGCAAAUCCUCCGCACAGAAAAAUCAUUUUGACCGCAAGGAAAAAUGGUUUUCGCAGUAACGAGAGACCGAAGAAGAUUGUACAAUUAUUAAUUGGGUAAUUUGUAACCAUGCCAUUAUAAUUUUUUAAAGUUUAAGAUAUGCCAUCGGUAUCUCAAUGACACGUAGGACCCACAUGAAUCAAUGACAUGUGGGUCAGGAUGGCAUAUCUCAAAUUUUACAAAAUUAUAAUGGCAUGGUUACAAUUUUCCCUUAUUAAUUUAUGUUCGCAUCGCGUGCGGUUUGAUAAGUGAUUUAACUAGGUUCCUUGUUUUGUCUAAAGCACCACCACCAGAAUCAUCAGUAUAUUUUACUGUGGAUUUUGGAGUACAAUUAAAAAUUCUAUUACACUGACUUAAAAUUUGAAUGACUUUUACCUUUUUAAACUCUAUGGAUGAACCCUAAAAAAAUAAUUGCCGAACAAAAUAUUAUUUCAAACUGGGAGAUGAUGUGGCAGUUUUUUUUAAUUUUAUACAGUGGAUUUUUGGAGUACAAUUAUUUUACCAUUGGCAAGAUGAGCAUAUAUUAUUUUUUUAAAACUUUAAUUUGUUGGAUGGAUAGUAUGAGUACAUUUUAUACAAUCUAUAUGUUCUUUUAUACAGGCUCUGUGUACAGCUCAGAUGAUGCACUUUUCCUGUGUGAAACUCUGAAGUAUGAUUCAUGUCAGGCACGUUUUUUUAGGAUAAUGUCACGUGCCUCUUUUAUUUUUUGCCACGUGUUUGAAAAUUAUUUUAUUUUAGGAUUUUUAUUCAUAUUAAAAUGGAUUGUCCAUUUUAUUUUUUUUAUAUGUAUGACUAUAGUGUACUUUGAGAUAUGUAUGAAUAUGUGUAGCCAUUCUAUGAAGCUUUUUAUUCGGUCAUUCUAUAUCUAUAUAAUGAUUAAUUUAUGAUGAUUAAUUUAUGUGUGCAUGCGUACAGUUUGAUAAGUGAUUUUGGUAUUCGGGCCUUGGCCGUAUUUAGUUCCUCCAAAAUUUUUUUGACACCACAGACACACAUUUAAAGUAUUAAACAUAGACUAAUAAAACAAAUUACAGAUUCCACCUAUAAACUGCGAGACGAAUUUAUUAAGCCUAAUUAAUCUAUCAUUAGCAAAUAUUUACUGUAGCACCACAUUGUCAAAUUAUAGCGUAAUUAGGCUCAAAAGAUUCGUCUCGCAAUUUACAUGCAAACAAUGCAAUUGAUUUUUUUUUCAUCCACAUUUAAUGCUUCAUGCAUGUGUCCAAACAUUUGAUGUGACGGAAUUUUUGGAAGUUUGAAGGGAACUAAACACAACCCUUAUUUAGAUCCCAAAAAAUUUUGGCCAAAAACGUCACAUCAAAUGUUUGGACAAAUGCAUGGGGCAUUAAAUGUGGAAAAAAAAUCAAUUGCAUAGUUUGCAUGUAAAUUGCGAGACGAAUCUUUUGAGCCUAAUUAUGCCAUGAUUUGACAAUGUGAUGCUACAGUAAAUAUUUGCUAAUGACGAAUUAAUUAGACUUAAUAAAUUCAUCUCGCAGUUAUAGGCGGAAUCUGUAAUUUGUUUUGUUAUUAGUCUACGUUUAAUAAUUUAAAUGUGUGUCCGUAUACUUCAAAAACUUUGCACCCAAACAACUAAACACACCCUCAGGCAAUAUAACUUGGUUCUUUUUUUCUCUAAUGCAGCACCACCAUAGUCAACUGUAGAGUUAUCCCUUGGUAUGUGAAGUGAUGAUCAGAGCCAAUGUACCUCUCAAACCGACUCACAAAUGGAUAUCAUCAUUGUUGAAAGAAGGGUUUCAUCGGGGUUUUAACCGAUGAGGUAUGUAGAUGUUGCAUCGGCUUACAAAGAUUGCAUAUAAGUUGGAUUUAGCCAUUCGCAACAAAGGUUUCACUGUUUAUCUAAUCUUGUGGAUUUUAUGACAUGGGACCUCCAGCCAAUAUAUGCUUUAACCAUCGGAAUAUUUAUUUUAUCAUAUCAUUGUUAGCCGAUUAGUUUCUACUGGAUUAUAUUAUUGUUAUUUAUCAUCAUCGGCUGAUGGCCUUUAUGUCAUUUAUUUACUCAAGUAUCAGACUUUGCAUUGGACAUAUAGCCGAUUGCUCAAAACCCUAUCAACAUCUGCUGGUAUCGGCAUCAGUUGGAAUUACUCCGUCUGCUUGUCAGCCAAUCGGCUCAUUGAUCUACUAUUUGCAUAUCUUAUCAGUUGCAGGAUCAAACUGACUGACACUUCUGCAUCUCAUCAACCUUUUGACCUGCACUGGAGCUAAGUAGAUCUCCCAUGCCGUUGGGUUUGUUGACUUAAUUUUGCGCCAACACAGUUCUGGCACCAUCGGCCGAGCGCGGUUUUUUCGUCAACAGGGGGUAAAAUGAAAAAAAAAGGAGAUGCUAAGGUGCCUAUUUUUUCCUCUCAGGGUGGGAUGAGGAUUUGUGGAAGGAUUCCUUAGAAAAGAAGUUUCUUGAAGGGUAUUGAAAAUAUUUCGCAAACUGAGGAAAUAACGGCUAGAAGCAUCGGAACGAAGAAUUGAACGGCUAAAGUUCCCUUAAUGACGUGGUGUUGUAUUUUGCAAGGAAAGGUUUCACUUUUCACUUAUUUAGAUAUAACACACAUGCAUGUAUUUUCGUGCAACUAGUGACUUGCAACACAUGAUCCCUGCUAGAUGCCUGUUGGCAGUCAUUAAACCCUAAAAUCACCACCAAUAUUAUAAUAAAAAUAUCACAUAAAGCAUGUUACCUAGGUCGAUUUUGCCUUAUUUCAAUGAGUUACACGAUUUCUGUUGGAUUUCACUACGCGUAUAAUAAUUCACGAUUUUGACCUAUUUUUUUUCCAAUGAAAAUCUGGCAUUUUAAGCCAAAGGGCUGACCAGCCGACCAACAUACCUCAUGGGUCAACCGGCCUAAAGACUUGGCCGACUAGCCAACUCAGGGCUCGGCCAGCUAUUUGGAAACGUGUCCUGAUUGGCCACCCUCCUCACUGAGCCGGCUGGCCUGCGCAGCACGAUGUGAGGCUAAUGAUUGAUUGGUGGACCCCAUUCUGGGAGUGAUGUCUUCUCGGAUGAGUAACAUGUAGACUUACUUUUCCCUCUUAAUAUUUUAUUCAUACAUUAUGCUUAUUGCCAUACUUUUUUUCCUAGUUCUCUUCUAAGUUUAUUUUUUAUGCUUGCUUGAGUGGAUGCCUCAUUUAUAAUUAAGCUGGGAACAUGUAUAGUUCUAUGUGUGGGUGUGGUGCUUAGGAAUAGUUUUAUCUAGGAAGGCUGGUUGGGGAAACAGAGGACGUAGUUGGCCGGGUGCCGACAGCCUCGGUUGUCCUUUGAAGCCAGCCACGUUAACCCUAAUUACGCUGACGCAAAUAGGUAGACCAAUGCUUAAUGUGGAAAGCAGUCCUGUUUCCAAAGCAAGCAAGGAUAAGUGUAGCUAAAUGGAUUUCCUAGAAUGAAAGCAGUCUUGUGAUGUGGGGAAUAACCCGGGGACUUGAAUCCUGACUAAUUCGAUGAUUUCACAACCAUAUCAUCACAUUCACACAACAAAUACAUAUAUAUAGACAAUAAUGUUCACAUUUCUAAGUGUUAACAAAAGACACACAUCACAUUGGACUAACUGGUCAAAUAAAAGAGAGUCAAACAUAGCGCAAUAAGAGAACAAAAAAAUAUAUACAUUCUUUAGUAUGCCAUCUAACUAACUAGGAAUUACUACCCAUGUCGAAACGCGGAUGACCGCACCGAGAAGGCAAAUUCUUCUUUGCCAAUCGAAGAGCACAAACAAGAAUGAGAUAGAAUACAACCAAAAUUACAGAUGAAUGAUUAAGCUCACAAGUUGGGGUCUUACAAACCGAUCUAGCGGCGAAACUAUUCUCGACAGAAUAUUCUAAGCAAAACCCGACUCUAAACGAUGACGGCUACUUAAUUAAUAUGAUUAGGGACGUCCUAGGGUUGCCCUAGGGCGCACACCCUCAUGGGCUAAGCCCACGACACAAUUAUAAGGCCCAAAACCCAAAUCAGAUUUGGAUUGGAUGAGAUACAUAACUUGUUUUGUAGAUUCCCGACAGCUCGGUAGGAAUUUUGACGUAGGACCAAAACCAUCUAAAAGUAGACUCCAUAAGCUUUCCAACAAGUACUCAUAGGCCCCGAAAUUCCUUCUAGAUCAACAUCUAGGUUCGUUUGAAGUUGAUGCUGUCAGGAGGCCCGAAUCCGAAUCCAAAACGUGUAGAACUUGAUCUCUUGUCUUCUAUGGACCAAAAGUGACGUGGUGAGGUAGAAGUAGACUUGGAGAAGGUCUUGGUUUGGUCCCCAAUCAACUUCUUUGAUCAUCCAUGCAUUCGUUACGCUCGGUCUCUUUUCCUUCGCCCAAGCAAGUACCUCUACAAACAAAAACACAUCAUUGUGUAGCAACGUUUGUUCAAAUAUAUAACAAGUAAAUCUAAUGUAGAACAUAUGUACCUUUGUUUGAUUAAUAUAUAAGGUAUCCAUGGUUAUAUCCAAACUAGUAGUGUCCUCAUCACCUAGCUAGAAGUAUCAUGACGCUAAUGGUGGUGGAUAGAAAAUGGCAAAGGAAGGGAGAUAGUGCUGUUUCCAAAGGCAGAGAUGAAGUAAAAUAGGGUUCAAUGUAAAACAAAAGGGAGAGAGAGAGAGAGCUCAAAGUGAAAAGAAUGUGUAAAGGAGGGCAAAAGUGAAACUUUUGUAGUAAAGAGGUCCACAUUGCAAACCAUCUCUAUGUUUUAAGUUUUGAUGCAUGUAAAAAUAAUGUGACUGUGACAUCCCGGCCCAAUUUGGAUUAGGCCUGUGUGGCCCAUGUGAGUUGUGUGCGUAUGUUUAGUACGACCUUAUUAGUUUAGCAUGAGUGGAACUAACUUAUAAGGCCUCUUCCCUCCAACCAUACCCUUUUACACGAAGCGAGGACGAAAGUGUAAGUGGAGUGAUGUGUGUAAGUGGGCCCGCUACGUGGUUCUGGAGGGAGGGCUGUAACAAAUGGUAUCGGAGCCGACCCUUGCGAUUGCGCGUACGGGUCAGUGUGCGGGCAUAUGGCGCUGGCACUGGACGUACGGAUGUGCGCUUCGCGGUUGCGCGUACAGGUCAGUGUGCGGGCAUAUGGCGCAUGGCGCAUGUGGGCUCUGUGUGAGGCACAUGGCAUGGCAUAUGGCGCUAGCACUGGACGUACGGAUGUGCGCUGAGAGGGGGUGUGUUCCUGGACAGUUGCCUAUAUGCCUGUGUGGCUACAUGGGUAAGUUGGGCCGACAGGGAUGUCGGGUCCUUUGAGGGGGGGGGGGGUUGUGACAUCCCAGCCCAAUUUGGAUUAGGCCUGUGUGGCCCCACUCCCGGGUUAACCCUUUUAUACGAAGCGAUGACGGAAGUGUAAGUGGAGUGGUAUGUGUAAGUGGGCCCGCCCGUCGGAUGGGCUGGCUACACGGUUCUGUAGGGAGGGCUGUGACAGUGACGUGGUCAUCACUUCCAACUUAAAUGCUAAAAAUAUUGUUCUCAAUUUGUAACCUCCAUUGAGAGUAUUAUCAUGUUCUUAGUAAUUGCUUAUUGAUAUUUUUAUGGAAAAAGAGGUGUAGGCAAUCUUCUUCACAUUAUUCAUUACAGUAAGAUCGUUACACAUUUAGUUUACUUCUCGUUGAUCUGCCACUCAGCAUACUGUUGCGGCCCACGCCUCGGAGCAAAGACAGCCAUCUCAUCGCCGCGGUUGAACUUUACAUGCCUAGAGUCCUCCCUUGAAAGCCUAUAAGCAUUGGCGACCACGUCAACGGGUAGAGCACGAAGAAUGGAGGCCUUCCCUGCGAUCUGACUGUCGACAGCAUUGUGAUUGGUCUUGAAGGAUACCCAUGCAAAUCCUUCACGUCGAGCCUUCACCACCACUGCAAAGUUCUGUGGGAUCAACAAGAUCUGCUGUUGGUGAAGCUCACCAUCAAAGACACUCCUACCACGGUGAUCCACCACCUGGAUGUGCCCUUGGCCAGCGGUCACGUACAUCACCGUGUGUGCGUUUACCGUCCAAUGAGGAGUAAGCAAGGCAUUCUACAAAAAUGGAAGUGAAUCAACAUGACAAAUACUUGGCAUAAACUACAUACAUUAUGCUUACAAACUAUAGUAAUUUUCUCUUUGUUUAUACUCACAUUUUGGAGAACGAUUCUGGUGGCACUCAUCUGGAUGAUAUUGAGUAUUGGGAAAUUCUGGCUAUUGGCCCUUGUGAUCCUUCCACCAUGGGGGUUAAAUAUGUCACUGGAUUGUGGGUUGUCUAUGUUCUUCCUCAACUUAAAUGCACACAUAAUUUCAUCUAGGACAUUUUGCUGGCCGCAAGCUCCACCACUUCGCAACCAGGUGGGCUGUAGCUGCUUGGUUGGCAAGUAAGCUUGGGUUUGUUCCUCUUUCACUGGCUCAACUUGGAGAGAGGGCUGCAGUGCCUGGAGCCCAUUUUCAACUCUAAUGAUGGCACCUCUUGGGUCACUCAGGCCUUGGAGCCUCAACACAGUUUGCUUGCUCACACUCAGGGCUUCAGAAAGUAAAUCUGGGCUGAACCCAGCAAAGAUGUUCUGAUUUCUGCUCAGUUGUUCUGUCUGGUAUGAGUACGAUUGCUGCUGCCAGCUACUUCUAGGCUUUCCAGCCAAGAAAAACUCCUAACCCAUUUAUCAUUUCAUAGUAUACAAUACACAUUAGCAUUUUGUUAUCAUUGAAAUCAAAAUAGUGAUAUGGAAUAUUCAUUAUGCUUGUGUGGAGCAUAUGUACGCAUACCCUUCUUUUAGGAUCGAGCUGGUUGGCAUUGUUGCUGGUGUCGAUGACAGUGAAAGCAACCACAGGAGAAUCACCAUUGUUAUAUAGCCAGUGGGCUACUCCAGCUGGCACUGCGAUUACAUCACCUUGGUGGAAUUGGUGAAGUUGCUGGUGCUCGUCUCUCAUUUUUUGGAUUGAUGAUUGAGCCUCACCAGCUGUUGCCACCUCUUGCUCAAAGGGAGACCUAACUGACUGGAACGUCUCUGGACAACCAGGCAGUGCCAUCCCAAACACUCCCCGACCU